AUUGAACGCUGGCGGCAGGCCUAACACAUGCAAGUCGAACGAGUGGCGGACGGGUGAGUAAUGUCUGGGAAACUGCCUGAUGGAGGGGGAUAACUACUGGAAACGGUAGCUAAUACCGCAUACCAUCGAGGUUCCCCAAAUGGGUUUAGCAAGUGGGUGGGGUAACGGCACACCUAGGCGCCGAUCCCUAGCUGGUCUGAGAGGAUGACCAGCCACACUGGAACUGAGACACGGUCCAGACUCCUACGGGAGGCAGCAGUGGGGAAUAUUGCACAAUGGGCGCAAGCCUGAUGCAGCCAUGCCGCGUGUAUGAAGAAGGCCUUCGGGUUGUAAAGUACUUUCAGCGGGGAGGCGUUACCCGCAGAAGAAGCACCGGCUAACUCCGUGCCAGCAGCCGCGGUAAUAC
This 406-nucleotide ribosomal RNA is filed under the name uncultured bacterium. RNAcentral's name for it is "partial 16S ribosomal RNA". It matches the Rfam family "Bacterial small subunit ribosomal RNA", at positions 30 to 526 of the family's 1533-position model. The record is from RNAcentral.